This 2199-nucleotide ribosomal RNA is filed under the name Triticum aestivum (bread wheat). Its description in RNAcentral is "partial small subunit ribosomal RNA". The record is from RNAcentral. Lineage: Eukaryota; Viridiplantae; Streptophyta; Magnoliopsida; Poales; Poaceae.
GAGGGAAAAUGACACAGCUCCAUUUCGGCAGGGUGCUAUUGUGGAGGUGGCCCAUUUAUGCUUCGUUUAUACGAGAUGGUGCGUUGUCUUCGUUUGAGCGUCGUCAGGGAGGAGGGAGCAGUCGGUGACGGACCAGAAGAGCUACCUCCACCUCCUCAUCCCCCAGGGCGGCCUAGUCUCCGCACGCCCGUGUCGCGACCCGUAGAGGCCGUCGCCGCCGCUGGACGUCCGGAUCACGAUACCACCCCCGCGAGCUAAAUUAGGUCGCGGUACCUGGCCAUGGACGUCUUCACUCUCUUCUACUCCCUCUCUCUCUUCCUUCCUCUCCUCCCUCUUUCUAUCUCCUUUCUCCUCUCCCUCUACGUCACCGCCUACCCUCUCCUAGCGGCCGGCCGUGGGCGGUAGCGUAGAGAGGAGGGGAAGACCAGAGCAGCUGGCAUCACGGGGAAGGGGAGACCAGUUGCAACUCCUUAUACCCCUUGUGUCUCGGUCGCUCCUUCUGCCAAGCCGGGACGGCGGCUACGGAGGGCCGAUGAAGGUAGUGCGUGGCAAGCCAGAAGAAGUGAGUGCCAGGAAUAGAAUUCGCCUGCCUUGUGCGUCGGCGUAGGCGUUUCACCGUCUUCCCAGGCCCGACGUAGCCACCACCAGGCUCGCGACGGCGGAGGUAGGGGCGUGGUAGAAGCAGUGUGCGUCGGCGGAGGAAGGCGUGGGGAGAAGAAGCGCAGGAUAGUCCCUCAUUGUUAUAAUAGCUCAAUCGUAGGAAAAGCACCUUCUCCUCACCCUUAAAUUUCCACGUACGAUGUAUGAGGGAGGCAAGCCUUAAUGAACAGCGUCUUCACCUACAUAGAUCUGUAUAAAAUCAAGAUGUAUGUAGGUAAAGGCUCUGUUCAUUAAAGCUUGCCUCCCUCAUCUUCGAAUCUAGACAUUAGUUCGACACCUUCUCUAAUGACCUUCUCUGUGAAGAUAUUCGUCUCAACUUCUCGAGAGGUCCGAAUUCUAGAAAGAUCCUAUUAACGAAGCGAUUUAGACUUCCUAAGCGAGUACACGGUUUCGGAAGAACCCCUUCGGAAGGACCUGAGGACCAGUUGGUGCUGUUAGUGCUGUCCCACUCACCUAAAACUUAGAAAGAACGCGGCAGUCUAGCCUAAGCUACACAUAUACCAUCAAUACCUGACGACUGACGACUUACAACACAAAGGAGACACAUGAUACACUCGAAUUCGCUCGCCUUGUGGUUUCCUCCCAGAACCCCUACUGCCUCCGAAGCUGCUGUUGGAGUUUCCGCUCUCCGACUAGUUUCACCCUUGUCUCGGUCUUUCGCCAACUCCGUGGUGGAUGACAUCUCGUCUGUUGGAACCUCAGCGGCGUCUGUAGGAAGUUCACAUCGUAGCUUCAACUAUGUUCUGUUCCUCCUUCCGCGGUUAGUCGGCACGACCGACGACGCUGACAGUCACGAGACCAUCGCGCCAUGAGGACCAGUUCUCUGACGCCGUGUCGACGUCCGGCGUCCGCGUACUGACCGACGUGGUACCGCCUGUCCCCAAGAGUUAGAUACUCUGCGGCUUCUCACUGCCCCUACGGCCUCACCUGCACUUCUGCCUGUAACGAACAAAUAAACGACUUAAACCAAGUGAAAACCUAUUCGGUAUGUAGUCCCUUAGUUAGUCGUACUUUUGGUAACUUUUCCCGCCCUCAAAUGGACCGUGGCGUGUCAACGGCACAGUCCGCCGCGCGGUACCCGCGCGGGGUUGGCGAUCAUAAUGUGGUAUACACCAACGUACAAGAGAAAGUGUUUAUAAUACACCAUGGUCUCGUGUAUCUGGAGUACGAUUACGGAGAAGAAUCCUCGUUGGCUCAACGCUCACCCCGAAGAAAAAGGUAGUAACCGUGAAGUACGUGGUAGUACUGGUUGAACACAACGUAGAGGUUAGUUAAAAAGGAAGAACAUUCCUUGAAACAAAAUGAGUAUCAAGAAGGUGAAGAGGAGUAAAAGUUCGAUGUUUAUUGUUUACACGUUUCACUUAUCAAUCGGAUAGAAGAAACACGGAAAAAAGGAGCGGGAAGAUGUUAAGAACUCGUAGAAGUGGAUGUAUGGUGUUCACUCUCGUCUUCAAUCCAUAUGUUCUCUACUUCUUUAUUAACAAAUUAAACUUUGUUCGUUAGUGUAAUAGAACCUCUAAAGAUGGUGAAACCAAGUAU